RNAcentral lists this long non-coding RNA (1151 nucleotides) under Homo sapiens (human). Its description in RNAcentral is "HSALNT0000845". The record is from RNAcentral. Lineage: Eukaryota; Metazoa; Chordata; Mammalia; Primates; Hominidae.
UGGUAGCAGAGAGCAGACCAAGGAAAGCAGAAGAUGGCAGAGGAAGAGAUGGCUCCAGGUAGCAAAUGCAGUGAAAAUCACACCCCAAGGCCAAUCUAUGGGCAGGUUGCCAUGAACCCCACUUAUUCCUCUAGCAAAUACAUAUUGAGCACCUGCUUUGUGCCAGGCCCUGGAGACCCACCAAACAGAGAAGAAUCUUUCUCCACAUGGAGUUAACUUUCUACUGGAGAAGACAGACAACGAACAGGUGAGGAAACUGAAGUGUAAAGAGGUUACAUAAGUUAGCUGAAAUUCUUAAAGGUAGCCACUGUUGGGGUGAGAUUUUAAAUCCAGGCAGAGAACUCCUGAGAACUAUCCAAGGCUGAACUGAGGGCAGCUCCCAGCCUCCAGCCAGGAAAAAUCCAGGCCCUCAGUUCUACAGCAGCAAGAAAAUAAAUUCUGCCAACAACCUGAGGGUGUGCAGAAGCAGAUCCUUCCCCAGUCGAACCUCCAGAUGGAAACACAGCCCAGUCCAGCCAGCAAGUUGAUUGUUAUCUUGUGUGAGACCCUCUCCCUGUCACAACUUGCAUAAAAUAUUUUUCUUUGCUUCUUUUAUUCUUUCAAGCAGCACUUGAUAUUCAUUUUAAACUGGCUUUGCUGCUCAACAAUGUUUUGUUUGGGAGUGGUGUGUGCAUGCAUAUAUGUUUUCUAGAGAUAUGUCAGAUUGUGGAAAGUACAGGGAGCAUGGCGUUAGGCUCUGUGCACAAGGUGAGAAGUUCAGCCACACCAUUGUGUUUCUCUACACAACAUCAAGGAACCAGAUACCAGGCCUGGAUGAAGCCCAGCCUUGGAAAUUGGAAGAUGCCAGCCCCCUUCAGUUCCUUAAACAAGGAUCCCUGGAUUGUAAUCUCCACAAGAGCAGGGCAUGUCUGCCUCAUCUAUCAUUGUAUCUCCAUUGCCAACCUCAGUGCUGAAUAUCUGUGGGGUAAAUGAAAGCAUGGGAAUUUGAAGAGCCACCCAUAGAAACUGUUUCCUCAAGCUAUCCCUCCUUUUCAGUGUUCACAGAACCCAUACUUUGCUCAGAAGAUUUUAAGUUUCCAUCACAGCUGAUGAUGGAAAGUUUGGGCACAGCAUGACUUUGUCUUUUGUUCAGAUCUCACACAAGGCUGCAG